Molecule: ribosomal RNA, 1372 nt
Filed under: uncultured bacterium
Lineage: Bacteria
Description: bacterial SSU rRNA
Rfam family: Bacterial small subunit ribosomal RNA
Source: RNAcentral
GAUGAACGCUGGCGGCGUGCCUAAUACAUGCAAGUCGAGCGAACGGACGAGAAGCUUGCUUCUCUGAUGUUAGCGGCGGACGGGUGAGUAGCACGUGGAUAACCUACCUAUAAGACUGGGAUAACUUCGGGAAACCGGAGCUAAUACCGGAUAAUAUUUUGAACCGCAUGGUUCAAAAGUGAAAGACGGUCUUGCUGUCACUUAUAGAUGGAUCCGCGCUGCAUUAGCUAGUUGGUAAGGUAGCGGCUUACCAAGGCAACGAUGCAUAGCCGACCUGAGAGGGUGAUCGGCCACACUGGAACUGAGACACGGUCCAGACUCCUACGGGAGGCAGCAGUAGGGAAUCUUCCGCAAUGGGCGAAAGCCUGACGGAGCAACGCCGCGUGAGUGAUGAAGGUCUUCGGAUCGUAAAACUCUGUUAUUAGGGAAGAACAUAUGUGUAAGUAACUGUGCACAUCUUGACGGUACCUAAUCAGAAAGCCACGGCUAACUACGUGCCAGCAGCCGCGGUAAUACGUAGGUGGCAAGCGUUAUCCGGAAUUAUUGGGCGUAAAGCGCGCGUAGGCGGUUUUUUAAGUCUGAUGUGAAAGCCCACGGCUCAACCGUGGAGGGUCAUUGGAAACUGGAAAACUUGAGUGCAGAAGAGGAAAGUGGAAUUCCAUGUGUAGCGGUGAAAUGCGCAGAGAUAUGGAGGAACACCAGUGGCGAAGGCGACUUUCUGGUCUGUAACUGACGCUGAUGUGCGAAAGCGUGGGGAUCAAACAGGAUUAGAUACCCUGGUAGUCCACGCCGUAAACGAUGAGUGCUAAGUGUUAGGGGGUUUCCGCCCCUUAGUGCUGCAGCUAACGCAUUAAGCACUCCGCCUGGGGAGUACGACCGCAAGGUUGAAACUCAAAGGAAUUGACGGGGACCCGCACAAGCGGUGGAGCAUGUGGUUUAAUUCGAAGCAACGCGAAGAACCUUACCAAAUCUUGACAUCCUUUGACAACUCUAGAGAUAGAGCUUUCCCCUUCGGGGGACAAAGUGACAGGUGGUGCAUGGUUGUCGUCAGCUCGUGUCGUGAGAUGUUGGGUUAAGUCCCGCAACGAGCGCAACCCUUAAGCUUAGUUGCCAUCAUUAAGUUGGGCACUCUAAGUUGACUGCCGGUGACAAACCGGAGGAAGGUGGGGAUGACGUCAAAUCAUCAUGCCCCUUAUGAUUUGGGCUACACACGUGCUACAAUGGACAAUACAAAGGGCAGCGAAACCGCGAGGUCAAGCAAAUCCCAUAAAGUUGUUCUCAGUUCGGAUUGUAGUCUGCAACUCGACUACAUGAAGCUGGAAUCGCUAGUAAUCGUAGAUCAGCAUGCUACGGUGAAUACGUUCCCGGGUCU